UAGAUACCCUGGUAGUCCACGCCCUAAACGAUGAAUGUUAGUCGUCGGGUAGCUAGUCUAUUCGGUGAUGCAGCUAACGCAUUAAACAUUCCGCCUGGGGAGUACGGUCGCAAGAUUAAAACUCAAAGGAAUAGACGGGGACCCGCACAAGUGGUGGAGCAUGUGGUUUAAUUCGAAGAUACGCGAAGAACCUUACCUAGCCUUGACAUAUUUUAGAACUCCGUAGAGAUACAGAGGUGCCUUCGGGAGCUAAUUUACAGGUGCUGCACGGCUGUCGUCAGCUCGUGUCGUGAGAUGUUGGGUUAAGUCCCGCAACGAGCGCAACCCUCGUCACUAGUUACUAACGGUUCGGCCGAGGACUCUAGUGAGACUGCCUUCGUAAGGAGGAGGAAGGUGAGGACGACGUCAAGUCAUCAUGGCCCUUACGGCUAGGGCAACACACGUGCUACAAUGGCCAGGACAGUGAGACGCGAUACCGCGAGGUGGAGCAAAUCUAUAAACCUGGUCUCAGUUCGGAUUGUAGUCUGCAACUCGACUACAUGAAGCUGGAAUCACUAGUAAUCGUAGAUCAGCUAUGCUACGGUGAAUACGUUCCCGGGUCUUGUACUCACCGCCCGUCACACCAUGGGAGUUGAUUUCACCCGAAGCGGGGAAGCUAAACUGGCUACCCUCCACGGUGGAAUUAGCGACUGGGGUGAAGUCGUAACAAGGUA
This 713-nucleotide ribosomal RNA is filed under the name uncultured bacterium. Its description in RNAcentral is "bacterial SSU rRNA". It matches the Rfam family "Bacterial small subunit ribosomal RNA", at positions 779 to 1498 of the family's 1533-position model. The record is from RNAcentral.